This 429-nucleotide ribosomal RNA is filed under the name Escherichia coli. RNAcentral describes it as "partial 23S ribosomal RNA". It matches the Rfam family "Bacterial large subunit ribosomal RNA", at positions 39 to 514 of the family's 2925-position model. The record is from RNAcentral. Lineage: Bacteria; Pseudomonadati; Pseudomonadota; Gammaproteobacteria; Enterobacterales; Enterobacteriaceae.
GUCAGAGGCGAUGAAAGACGUGAUAGCCUGCGAAAAGCUCCGGGGAGGCGGCAAAUAUCCUUUGAUCCGGAGAUGUCUGAAUGGGGGAACCCACCUACUUUAAGGUAGGUAUUGCAACAUGAAUACAUAGUGUUGCAAGGCGAACGAGGGGAAGUGAAACAUCUCAGUACCCUUAGGAAAAGAAAUCAAUUGAGAUUCCCUCAGUAGCGGCGAGCGAACGGGGAUCAGCCCAUUAAGUUAUGUGUGUUUUAGUGGAACGCUCUGGGAAGUGCGAACGUAGAGGGUGAUAUUCCCGUACACGAAAGGGCACACAUAAUGAUGACGAGUAGGGCGAGGCACGUGAAACCUUGUCUGAAUAUGGGGGGACCAUCCUCCAAGGCUAAAUACUCCUGACUGACCGAUAGUGAACCAGUACCGUGAGGGAAAGGC